Carya illinoinensis is the source of this 2459-nucleotide long non-coding RNA. RefSeq lists it as uncharacterized. The transcript has 3 exons. Lineage: Eukaryota; Viridiplantae; Streptophyta; Magnoliopsida; Fagales; Juglandaceae. The record is from RefSeq and is a predicted model, not a curated record.
AUUUUGGAGAAAAAGCUCAAGCCGUGAGACCUUAUAUCAGACUCCACGUUCUGCACUAUUCACAUCCGUUUGUCAUGCAACCUCAAUCACAUUCGUAUUCCACGCCUUGCCGUCGCACAUUAUUUUUGUUUCCCUUUCUCUCUAGGGUUUUGUUUUCAAUCCUCAAUAUAUACUUAUGCAUGUCUCAACCACCCCUUAUGCACGAACAAACCCCAAGCUGCCGCUUCAGUUUUCUUCUUCUUCUCUGGGUUUUUUUAUUUUUUGGCUGUCCACACCAUAACCUCCCGCGAGUCGCACCCCUUACGGCCAUCUCGUUCCCAUGCAAGGGUCUGCCCAACCCCUCGCUACAUCGUGUACGUUGCUGACCAACCUGGCAUCUCACCAACCAUCGCGCAACACCACCGUGUGGAUGUGUCUCUUGCACCAGUUUCUGUCGGAGCAAAGGAAGAAGAACCCAAGCUUAACAACGCUCGGAUUGCUCUCAAGCACCUCCUGGAACCACCACCCGAAACCUCCUUGCACCACUACACCCCUCUGCUCAGCCACCGUGUGACCUAGCGGAAACCCCCAACUCAGCCGUUGUCCCCUGUUUUUCCACUCCCGAAACAGAAUAGUGUGUAGGCCACAAACUCGGUUGAUCACCACCGUACGAUGGAAAAAUAAUAGGGUUGGCCAUAGAACCUGCCAGUCGUCGCCUUCCCAUCAGCCUCAAGCUGCCUCAGAUCCGCCUUGUCCCUCAUGCCUUUCAGCUCGACGUUUUCUGCACCACCUUGUAGUUCUUCACGCCGCUCCUCACUCUCGUUACAGCCCUGUUACGGGUGAUAAUAGUGGCAUACGGACCAACCACGAGUGAUAAUAGUGGAUACAGCCCAGCCACAGGUUAUAAUAGUAUAUAUGGCCCAAUCAUGGGUAACAAUAGUAGAUACGGCCCAACAAUGGGUUGUAAUAGUAGAUACAGCUCUACUACGAGUUAUAGUAGUGGUUUCUAUUUGAGUGCAUACCUUGCUGACAGAGUGAUUUAUGUUCUACUUGGUUAUCCGCAGAUGCACAACCCUACCGCAGGGGUUAUACAAGGCAUCUGUUCUGAUAUGAUGCUCUGAUAUGAUGAUGAUGAUGAUGAUGAAUCAUAUACGUUAUGCCAAAGUACUUUUGAAUAUGAUUAUUUUUGAAACUUCACUCUAAUUUUUGUUAACAUGUUUUGCUUCUGCACUCUGAAAAUGAAAAGGAAAAUGUUCUAUUCUGCAUUCUGAUUUCUAUAAAUGCUCAUAUUUAUAUACUAGUAUAUGUCCUCUGCUUACUGAGUUGUUGAUAACUCAUAUCUUAACUCCACAAUAUUUUUCAGAUGAUUCUAGAAUAGUUCAACUAAGGAUCAGGAUUAUGAAGUAUGGGUGAGAUGAUUAUUUAAGUAUAGUAGGUUAUUCAUAAAAGAUUUAUGAGGAUUGAUGGAUUUUAUUAAGAGAUUUUAUAAUAUUCUGUUGAUUUUAAGUUUUGGAAUCUAUAAAUAUUUUGAUGAAAUAUGAGUUUUAAAUAUGAGGAAGUAACUCUCCAACCCCUGCAGAAAUAGAGCGUUACAGGUUCCCCCAUACGUGAUGGUCCACUUUUGUAUAUUGAUUACGAAGCAUCAAGCAUUUGUACUUUGCGAAGAGUUCCCGAGCACACUGAAUGGUAUUUCUCUUUCCAAAUCUGGUCGAAGCCAUAUAACUCUUCAAUCCAAAGAGUAUACUCGUAGUAAACUUGGCGGUAAAUCGGAAGGCCGGCGAUUUUAUUCAGUUUAUGAACAAUAAUCGUCUAUUCGAGGGUUGGUCCGAUCCUAUGUCAACGCAAUUCAAAUCAGCAUCCAUGAGGGAGACUGCUGCUAACAGUGCUGCACUUUUUGAACAUGAGUCCUAUUAACUAAUGUAACUUUUAGUGAAGUUGAAUUCAGCAUGGGUUGUCACUUUUUCUUUUUUCUUUUCUUUUUUUAAUAAUUCUUUAAGCCUAUGGGCUGUCACUUUAUUCCAUAAUGGAUAAUGGAACGUGUUUUGGGUCAAUUGGAUAGAAAAAUCCUCGUCUCCAGUCACUAAAAUUACGCUGAUUGUCUAGAUAUUCUCUUUCCCAGAAUGUUAGAAAUGGCUCAGCCUUGGGCUAAUUAACGUGGAGGGAUUAAGUCGUUGUACAGCCAGCCUUGGGGCUUUUUAGCACUGGCACGGUGGCACCUACCCAAACAGGCAGCAAGCAAAUGUUACAAGCUAGCCAAUCUGAUCAGCAUGCCCACAACAAGCUUCCCUCCUCUUCCUACCCUAAUCUGAGCUACUUCUGACGUGUCCCUUGGCUCAAUGGGGCUAUUGAUCCAAAGAUUGUAUCUGAAACAGUGAUGUCAACUAUGAAACAGAGAAACAAUAAGAAACGUAUCUUUUUAUGCUGCUUAGGUAUUUGAUAUUUUAGAUCACCAAUGGAAACAAAGAUUGAUUAGACCAUUC